GACGAACGCUGGCGGCGUGCUUAACACAUGCAAGUCGAACGGAAAGGCCCUGCUUUUGUGGGGUGCUCGAGUGGCGAACGGGUGAGUAACACGUGAGUAACCUGCCCUUGACUUUGGGAUAACUUCAGGAAACUGGGGCUAAUACCGGAUAGGGGCUCCUGCUGCAUGGUGGGGGUUGGAAAGUUUCGGCGGUUGGGGAUGGACUCGCGGCUUAUCAGCUUGUUGGUGGGGUAGUGGCUUACCAAGGCUUUGACGGGUAGCCGGCCUGAGAGGGUGACCGGCCACAUUGGGACUGAGAGACGGCCCAGACUCCUACGGGAGGCAGCAGUGGGGAAUAUUGCACAAUGGGCGGAAGCCUGAUGCAGCAACGCCGCGUGCGGGAUGACGGCCUUCGGGUUGUAAACCGCUUUCGCCUGUGACGAAGCGUGAGUGACGGUAAUGGGUAAAGAAGCACCGGCUAACUACGUG
This 468-nucleotide ribosomal RNA is filed under the name uncultured bacterium. RNAcentral's name for it is "partial 16S ribosomal RNA". It matches the Rfam family "Bacterial small subunit ribosomal RNA", at positions 28 to 507 of the family's 1533-position model. The record is from RNAcentral.